AUGCAAGUCGAACGGUAGCACAGAAGAGCCUGCUCUUCGGGUGACGAGUGGCGGACGGGUGAGUAAUGUCUGGGAAACUGCCUGAUGGAGGGGGAUAACUACUGGAAACGGUAGCUAAUACCGCAUAACGUCGCAAGACCAAAGAGGGGGACCUUCGGGCCUCUUGCCAUCAGAUGUGCCCAGAUGGGAUUAGCUAGUAGGUGGGGUAAUGGCUCACCUAGGCGACGAUCCCUAGCUGGUCUGAGAGGAUGACCAGCCACACUGGAACUGAGACACGGUCCAGACUCCUACGGGAGGCAGCAGUGGGGAAUAUUGCACAAUGGGCGCAAGCCUGAUGCAGCCAUGCCGCGUGUAUGAAGAAGGCCUUCGGGUUGUAAAGUACUUUCAGCGAGGAGGAAGGCAUCAAGGUUAAUAACCUUGGUGAUUGACGUUACUCGCAGAAGAAGCACCGGCUAACUCCGUGCCAGCAGCCGCGGUAAUACGGAGGGUGCAAGCGUUAAUCGGAAUUACUGGGCGUAAAGCGCACGCAGGCGGUCUGUCAAGUCGGAUGUGAAAUCCCCAGGCUCAA
RNAcentral lists this ribosomal RNA (568 nucleotides) under uncultured bacterium. RNAcentral's name for it is "bacterial SSU rRNA". It matches the Rfam family "Bacterial small subunit ribosomal RNA", at positions 55 to 612 of the family's 1533-position model. The record is from RNAcentral.